This 492-nucleotide ribosomal RNA is filed under the name uncultured bacterium. RNAcentral's name for it is "partial 16S ribosomal RNA". It matches the Rfam family "Bacterial small subunit ribosomal RNA", at positions 29 to 507 of the family's 1533-position model. The record is from RNAcentral.
AGUGAACGCUGGCGGUAGGCCUAACACAUGCAAGUCGAACGGCAGCACAUUAAGAGCUUGCUCUUACGGGUGGCGAGUGGAGGACGGGUGAUGAAUACAUCGGAAUCUACUUUUUCGUGGGGGAUAACGUAGGGAAACUUACGCUAAUACCGCAUACGACCUACAGGUGCAAGCAGGGGAUCUUCGGACCUUGCCAGCAUGUAUUAGGCGAUGUCGGGUUAGCUAGUUGGCGGGGGAAGGGCCCACCAAGGCGGCGAUCCGUAGCUGGUAUGAGCGGAGGAACGGCCACCCGGGAACUGAGAAACAGUACAGAGUCCGACGGGAGGCAGCAGUGGGGAAUAUUAGACAAGGGGGGCAAGCCUGAUUCAGCGAUACCGCGUGGGGGAAGAAGGCCUUCGGGUGGUAAAGCCAUGUUGUUGGGAAAGAAAAGAAGCAGGUUUAUACCCCGCUGAUCUGACGGUACCCAAAGAAUAAGCACCGGCUAGCUUCGUG